CGGGGAUUAGCUCAGAUGGCUAGAGCGCAGCGUUCGGGACGCUGAGGCCGCCAGUUCAAGUCUGGCAUCCCCGACCA
This 77-nucleotide transfer RNA is filed under the name Candidatus Roizmanbacteria bacterium CG_4_9_14_3_um_filter_36_11. RNAcentral's name for it is "tRNA-Pro". The record is from RNAcentral. Lineage: Bacteria; Candidatus Roizmaniibacteriota. RNAcentral also lists the same sequence under 1 other name.